AGCAGCCGCGGUAAUUCCAGCUCCAAUAGCGUAUAUUAAAGUUGUUGCAGUUAAAAAGCUCGUAGUUGAAUUUCGGGGUCAGCAGGUUGGUCGUGCCAAUGGUAUGCACUGGCCUUGGUGAUUCCUCCCUCUUGUAGAACCGUAAUGCCAUUAAGUUGGUGUUGCGGGGAAACAGGACUGUUACUUUGAAAAAAUUAGAGUGUUUAAAGCAGGCUAACGCCUGAAUACAUUAGCAUGGAAUAAUGAAAUAGGACGAUCGAUCCUAUUUUGUUGGUUUCUAGGAUUGACGUAAUGAUUAAUAGGGAUAGUUGGGGGCAUUAGUAUUCAAUUGUCAGAGGUGAAAUUCUUGGAUUUAUUGAAGACUAACUACUGCGAAAGCAUUUGCCAAGGAUGUUUUCAUUAAUCAAGAACGAAAGUUAGGGGAUCGAAGACGAUCAGAUACCGUCGUAGUCUUAACCAUAAACUAUGCCGACUAGGGAUCGGAUGAUGUUAAUUUUUAAUGACUCAUUCGGCGCCUUAC
RNAcentral lists this ribosomal RNA (520 nucleotides) under uncultured Glomus. RNAcentral describes it as "SSU rRNA". It matches the Rfam family "Eukaryotic small subunit ribosomal RNA", at positions 569 to 1091 of the family's 1831-position model. Lineage: Eukaryota; Fungi; Glomeromycota; Glomeromycetes; Glomerales; Glomeraceae. The record is from RNAcentral.